This 461-nucleotide ribosomal RNA is filed under the name uncultured bacterium. Its description in RNAcentral is "bacterial SSU rRNA". It matches the Rfam family "Bacterial small subunit ribosomal RNA", at positions 32 to 521 of the family's 1533-position model. The record is from RNAcentral.
AAUCAACGCUGGCGGCGUGCCUAACACAUGCAAGUCGAACGAGAAAGUGGAGCAAUCCAUGAGUAAAGUGGCGCACGGGUGAGUAACACGUGACUAACCUACCCUUGAGUGGGAGAUAACCUAGGGAAACCUGGGCUAAUACCGCAUAAUACCUACGGGUCAAAGGAGCAAUUCGCUUUAGGAGGGGGUCGCGGCAGAUUAGUUAGUUGGCGGGGUAAUGGCCCACCAAGACGAUGANCUGUAUCCGGCCUGAGAGGGCGCACGGACACACUGGAACUGAAACACGGUCCAGACUCCUACGGGAGGCAGCAGUGGGGAAUUUUGCGCAAUGGGGGAAACCCUGACGCAGCAACGCCGCGUGGAGGAUGAAGACCCUUGGGUCGUAAACUCCUUUCGAUCGGGACGAUAAUGACGGUACCGGAAGAAGAAGCCCCGGCUAACUUCGUGCCAGCAGCCGCAGU